RNAcentral lists this ribosomal RNA (481 nucleotides) under uncultured bacterium. RNAcentral's name for it is "partial 16S ribosomal RNA". It matches the Rfam family "Bacterial small subunit ribosomal RNA", at positions 28 to 507 of the family's 1533-position model. The record is from RNAcentral.
GAUGAACGCUGGCGGCGUGCCUAACACAUGCCAGUCGAACGGAGAUUACGGACGGAAGUUUUCGGAUGGAGGACUGUAAUUCUUAGUGGCGGACGGGUGAGUAACGCGUGGGCAACCUGCCCUAUACAGGGGGAUAGCAGCUGGAAACGGCUGGUAAGACCGCAUAAGUCGGCGAGACCGCAUGGUUUUGCCGGGAAAUGAGCAAUCAGGUAUAGGAUGGGCCCGCGUCCGAUUAGCCAGUUGGCAGGGUAAAAGCCUACCAAAGCAACGAUCGGUAGCCGGACUGAGAGGUCGGACGGCCACAUUGGGACUGAGACACGGCCCAAACUCCUACGGGAGGCAGCAGUGGGGGAUAUUGCACAAUGGAGGAAACUCUGAUGCAGCGACGCCGCGUGAGUGAAGAAGUAUUUCGGUAUGUAAAGCUCUAUCAGCAGGGAAGAUGAUGACGGUACCUGACUAAGAAGCCCCGGCUAACUACGUG